Molecule: long non-coding RNA, 1327 nt
Organism: Papaver somniferum (opium poppy)
Lineage: Eukaryota; Viridiplantae; Streptophyta; Magnoliopsida; Ranunculales; Papaveraceae
Exons: 2
Source: RefSeq, a predicted model, not a curated record
CCACCCCCUUGAGGGAGCUGGCUCUCCAUGGUGCUUGGAGCACUCCUGUCUGUUGGUCAUUUUGUUUGUGUAGAUUUUCUGUAUGCAGUUGUUUUUAUCUCGUUGUAGUGAUGUUUUGGGUGGUCUUCCUGACCUUCCUUCUUUUAUGUGAAAACUACGCCCACACCCAUUUUUAUAUUUUUCUCUACUAUGAAACCCACGAGCGCAAAACUUCAUUCGCGCAUCCAUUUUUGAGAACGAAAUUUAUCUGGCACCCAUAUUAUUUAUAAUUAGUUUUCUCCUCUCGCUUCUUCCUCUUCCUUCAGUCUUUUUUUUUCCGGAUUUGUUUCUUCCUUCGUCUUUUAUCUUUUAAUCAAGAAAGAAGGCUUUUGUUCGAUCAACAUAAACCGAUUUCGAUCAGUCACUGAAUAACAUCGAUUUUCAUAUUUAUUUAUUUUUUGAAAUCCUUACUGUGAUUAAUAUCAUUUUUUUUAUGUAUAUUCUUUUUGGAUCUGAUUGAUGUGGAUCGACAAGGAAACUAGAUUCUGGUUCGCUCGGUGAUUGAUAACUAGGUUUUCCCUACCUGGAAUUUUGAGGAUUUUGUUCCUGAUGCGUUAGAUGUUUCUAUAUAUGUAGAUGAUUGUCCUAGGGAAUUCUUGAUAUGGAUCUACUGUGUAUUAGCGACUUCAACCAGGAUGUGGGUUUUGUGCUGGUAUUGAUACCAAUUUCAGGCGUGCACCUGUUGCCUACUUGGCUGUAGAACCUAUUGGGACAUCACCAUCCUAUUUUCCUGAACAGGGUUCCAUCACAAGACAAUGCGAACUAAAGGAAUUCGGGAGAUUACCAGUAAAGGUGUUGUAAGAAAUGUCUAAAGCUUUGAGUGAUUUGAGUGAACUUCGUUAAGGAAGAAGAUUACCAGAGAAUGAAUUGUGUGUAAGAACUAGGGAUUCAAGAUUAACGAAAGAAGAAAUGGAAGAAGGAAUUGGCCCGUAAAAUUAAUUUUCAGCAAGACGAAUGUGUGUGAGUUGAGUAAGUGAUGAAAUGAGAGGAGAAAGAGUUCCUGAAUAACAAACAUGGUCAAGAACGAUUGAAGUGAUACGAGUUAAAUCGGAGCUACAAGUGAUUUCACAAAUGAAAUGUGUUCCGCGACACAGUGCAAUUGUUGUCCUAUAGGGGGUAAGGUGUAAAUUAUUGUUCAGAAUGGGUAUUCCAUUAUGUUUCAGUGGUGUGUACAGUUAGGAGUUUCCUUGGUGUUCUGUUUUCAUAGUAAAAUUAAUCAAAAUGCCCGAAAACAGAUUUUAUCAUCAUCAAACAUAUUUAUUAAGCUACCACUUUCUGGAUUUUGUGA